UGGGUCUCGCUCGUUACCUGACUUAACAGGAUGCUUCACAGUACGAACUGACGACGGCCAUGCACCACCUCUCAGCUAAUCCGGCAAAGUCUUCAGCCUGGCCUUCAUAUUGCUGUCGGUCCCGGUAAGAUUUCCGGCGUUGAAUCCAAUUAAACCGCAAGCUCCACCCGUUGUGGUGCUCCCCCGCCAAUUCCUUUAAGUUUCAGCCUUGCGGCCGUACUUCCCAGGUGGCUCGCUUCACGGCUUCCCUACGGCACCGACAACGGUCGCACCGUGGCCGACACCUAGCGAGUAUCGUUUACGGCUAGGACUACCCGGGUAUCUAAUCCGGUUCGUGCCCCUAGCUUUCGUCCCUUGCCGUCAGGUCCGUUCUGGUGAGACGCCUUCGCCACUGGUGGUCCUUCAAGGAUUACAAGAUUUCACCCCUACCCCUGAAGUACCUCUCACCUCUCCCGGCCUCGAGCCAGACAGUAUCUCCUGAAAGCCUGACAGUUAAGCUGCCAGAUUUCUCAAGAGACUUAUCCGGCCGGCUACAGACCCUUUAGACCCAAUAAUAACGGUUACCACUCGAGCCGCCGGUGUUACCGCGGCGGCUGGCACCGGUCUUGCCCGGCCCUUGCUAUGAAAUGCUUUUUAGGCAUCUCGACAGCCAGAUUUGUAACCUGGCACUCGAGGUUCCCUUAUCGCUGUUGCCAGCAUUGUAAAGUUUUCGCGCCUGCUGCACCCCGUAGGGCCUGGAUUCGUGUCUCAGAAUCCAUCUCCGGGCUCUUGCU
RNAcentral lists this ribosomal RNA (773 nucleotides) under unidentified archaeon. Its description in RNAcentral is "partial 16S ribosomal RNA". The record is from RNAcentral.